RNAcentral lists this ribosomal RNA (405 nucleotides) under uncultured Sphingomonas sp. RNAcentral's name for it is "bacterial SSU rRNA". It matches the Rfam family "Bacterial small subunit ribosomal RNA", at positions 355 to 774 of the family's 1533-position model. The record is from RNAcentral. Lineage: Bacteria; Pseudomonadati; Pseudomonadota; Alphaproteobacteria; Sphingomonadales; Sphingomonadaceae.
UGGGGAAUAUUGGACAAUGGGCGAAAGCCUGAUCCAGCAAUGCCGCGUGAGUGAUGAAGGCCCUAGGGUUGUAAAGCUCUUUUACCCGGGAAGAUAAUGACUGUACCCGGGGAGAAUAAGCCCCCGGCUAACUCCGUGCCAGCAGCCGCGGUAAUACGGAGGGGGCUAGCGUUGUUCGGAAUUACUGGGCGUAAAGCGCACGUAGGCGGCUUUGUAAGUCAGAGGUGAAAGCCUGGAGCUCAACUCCAGAACUGCCUUUGAGACUGCAUCGCUUGAAUCCAGGAGAGGUCAGUGGAAUUCCGAGUGUAGAGGUGAAAUUCGUAGAUAUUCGGAAGAACACCAGUGGCGAAGGCGGCUGACUGGACUGGUAUUGACGCUGAGGUGCGAAAGCGUGGGGAGCAAACA